CUGGGUUGGCUUUGCCUGUCGCCCCCUGCUGAAAUUGCUGCCGGCAGGUAUGCCAAUUUUUUUUUUUGAAAUUGCUCCACGUAGGACUGUCAUUUCAUUUCAUUUCAUUGCAAAGUAAUGAAUAUUUCAUUUCACUGAGGAGGAAUAGCUCGGGAUGGAACCCGUUUCUGGGCCCGCGACCGCCGCCCUCCGUCCCUCCCCACUCCUCGGCAGAUGCCCGUGCGAAUGCUAUAGUGUUCGGCACGGGGCACAGGAAUCCGCGGGGUCCCAUCGAGCUCGCAUCACCCCCCUGGCCAUCGCUCUCCCGAGGAGGGCCGAGGGCCCCCGCCUUGAUGCGCGGGCGGCACGACCGUGACGCCCGAGCAGCGCGGAUGAAGGCGACGCCCACCGCCGUGGCGGCGCGGGACGAAGGGGACGUGCGCUCGCGGGUUCGCAAGGCCAAGCUCUGUUAGAUAACGAGGGUCACAGCACAUGCACGCCGCCUGUUCGAGCGAAUGCCUGAACCAAGGUGUGCUAGUGAGGUAACGACGCUCCCUUAGUUCUAGUUUUGUCCCUCCGCUUUGCAUCAUGUGCUUCAGAUUGAGCAUGCCUUAGCACGUUUUUUUAUUAAGAGGAGAAUAAAAGUGACGGUACAACAGCCCCAGCUAGACUAAUCCAGCUCUAUAUCUGUGCUUAAGGGGGAUAUACAACAAUUUUCAGCUUUAAAGCUAGCGGAUACAACCAUGAAGAGCAACUUCCUUUUUAUCUGGGUGAGCUGAUUGUCGUGACUUCUCUUCCUUUUGUUUUUUGAGACAGACUGAGAAAUCCUUCACCGCUGCAAGGAGAUAAGGACAGCCGCCACCAGUUUUGAACGGCUAUCUCAUAUUCUUAUUGUUAACAGAAGUGCCAGGGAGAGGAGUCACAGCUUGCGGUGGGUAAGAUGAAGGUACGAGUAGCCAGAUGACUUCUUUCCCAUAUGGUGACAUGUAUAGGAUGAAUAGGUUGACUGUUAUUCCUUCCAUGUUGAUCGGCCAUUUUGUUUUUUAUUGUACUUACUAAGCUAAUGUGAAAUGCAUAGCAUUGUGCUUAGUUGUAGAGCAACACAUAACAAUGAACUGGUGCAAGAAACGCAUGGCAACAUAGUAA
This 1125-nucleotide long non-coding RNA is filed under the name Setaria viridis. RNAcentral describes it as "long non-coding RNA (SVIR_LNC001014)". The record is from RNAcentral. Lineage: Eukaryota; Viridiplantae; Streptophyta; Magnoliopsida; Poales; Poaceae.